Molecule: ribosomal RNA, 497 nt
Filed under: uncultured bacterium
Lineage: Bacteria
Description: partial 16S ribosomal RNA
Rfam family: Bacterial small subunit ribosomal RNA
Source: RNAcentral
GACGAACGCUGGCGGCGUGCCUAAUACAUGCAAGUUGAGCGCUGAAGGUUGGUACUUGUACCAACUGGAUGAGCAGCGAACGGGUGAGUAACGCGUGGGGAAUCUGCCUUUGAGCGGGGGACAACAUUUGGAAACGAAUGCUAAUACCGCAUAAAAACUUUAAACACAAGUUUUAAGUUUGAAAGAUGCAAUUGCAUCACUCAAAGAUGAUCCCGCGUUGUAUUAGCUAGUUGGUGAGGUAAAGGCUCACCAAGGCGAUGAUACAUAGCCGACCUGAGAGGGUGAUCGGCCACAUUGGGACUGAGACACGGCCCAAACUCCUACGGGAGGCAGCAGUAGGGAAUCUUCGGCAAUGGACGGAAGUCUGACCGAGCAACGCCGCGUGAGUGAAGAAGGUUUUCGGAUCGUAAAACUCGGUUGGUAGAGAAGAACGUUGGUGAGAGUGGAAAGCUCAUCAAGUGACGGUAACUACCCAGAAAGGGACGGCUAACUACGUG